This 443-nucleotide ribosomal RNA is filed under the name uncultured bacterium. RNAcentral describes it as "partial 16S ribosomal RNA". It matches the Rfam family "Bacterial small subunit ribosomal RNA", at positions 338 to 795 of the family's 1533-position model. The record is from RNAcentral.
CCUACGGGAGGCAGCAGUGGGGAAUAUUGGGCAAUGGGCGCAAGCCUGACCCAGCAACGCCGCGUGAAGGAAGAAGGCUUUCGGGUUGUAAACUUCUUUUCUCAGGGACGAAGCAAGUGACGGUACCUUAGGAAUAAGCCACGGCUAACUACGUGCCAGCAGCCGCGGUAAUACGUAGGUGGCAAGCGUUAUCCGGAUUUACUGGGUGUAAAGGGCGUGUAGGCGGGGCCGCAAGUCAGAUGUGAAAACCACGGGCUCAACCCGUGGCCUGCAUUUGAAACUGUGCUGCUUGAGUACUGGAGAGGCAGACGGAAUUCCUAGUGGAGCGGUGAAAUGCGUAGAUAUUAGGAGGAACACCAGUGGCGAAGGCGGUCUGCUGGACAGCAACUGACGUUGAGGCGCGAAAGCGUUGGGAGCAAACAGGAUUAGAUACCCUGGUAGUC